This 506-nucleotide ribosomal RNA is filed under the name uncultured bacterium. RNAcentral describes it as "partial 16S ribosomal RNA". It matches the Rfam family "Bacterial small subunit ribosomal RNA", at positions 28 to 523 of the family's 1533-position model. The record is from RNAcentral.
GAUGAACGCUAGCUACAGGCUUAACACAUGCAAAUCGAGGGGUAACGAGAGGAAAGCUUGCUUUCCUUGUCGACGACCGGCGCACGGGUGAGUAACGCGUAUCCAACCUGCCCCCAACUAGGGAAUAACCUUGCGAAAGUAAGACUAAUACCCUAUAAUUUCCUCAGAUGUCAUCUGACGAGGAAUAAAGAUUUAUCGGUUGUGGAUGGGGAUGCGUCUGAUUAGCUUGUUGGCGGGGUAACGGCCCACCAAGGCAACGAUCAGUAGGGGUUCUGAGAGGAAGGUCCCCCACAUUGGAACUGAGACACGGUCCAAACUCCUACGGGAGGCAGCAGUGAGGAAUAUUGGUCAAUGGGCGGAAGCCUGAACCAGCCAAGUAGCGUGCAGGAUGACGGCCCUAUGGGUUGUAAACUGCUUUUAUACAGGAAUAAAGUUAGCCACGUGUGGUUAUUUGUAGGUACUGUAAGAAUAAGGACCGGCUAAUUCCGUGCCAGCAGCCGCGGUAA